GCCUGGGUGGCUCAGUUGGUUGAGCGUCUGACUCUUGGUUUCGGCUCAGGUCGUGGUCUCACGGUUCGUGGGUUCGAGCCCCACAUCGGGCU
RNAcentral lists this transfer RNA (92 nucleotides) under Felis catus (domestic cat). It matches the Rfam family "tRNA". From Rfam's summary of the family: Transfer RNA (tRNA) molecules are approximately 80 nucleotides in length. Their secondary structure includes four short double-helical elements and three loops (D, anti-codon, and T loops). The record is from Rfam by way of RNAcentral. Lineage: Eukaryota; Metazoa; Chordata; Mammalia; Carnivora; Felidae. RNAcentral also lists the same sequence under 2 other names.